GCAAGUCGAGCGCUCUCUUCGGAGGGAGCGGCAGACGGGUGAGUAACGCGUGGGAAUCUACCCAUCCCUACGGAAUAGCUCCGGGAAACUGGAAUUAAUACCGUAUACGCCCUUUGGGGGAAAGAUUUAUCGGGGAUGGAUGAGCCCGCGUUGGAUUAGCUAGUUGGUGGGGUAAUGGCCUACCAAGGCGACGAUCCAUAGCUGGUCUGAGAGGAUGAUC
This 220-nucleotide ribosomal RNA is filed under the name uncultured bacterium. RNAcentral's name for it is "partial 16S ribosomal RNA". It matches the Rfam family "Bacterial small subunit ribosomal RNA", at positions 57 to 305 of the family's 1533-position model. The record is from RNAcentral.